AGCGAACGCUGGCGGCAGGCCUAACACAUGCAAGUCGAACGGUCCUUCGGGAUAGUGGCGGACGGGUGAGUAACACGUGGGAACGUACCCUUAGGUUCGGAACAACACAGGGAAACUUGUGCUAAUACCGGAUAAGCCCUUCGGGGGAAAGAUUUAUCGCCUUUGGAGCGGCCCGCGUCUGAUUAGCUUGUUGGUGAGGUAAUGGCUCACCAAGGCGACGAUCAGUAACUGGUCUGAGAGGAUGGCCAGCCACACUGGGAAGGAGACACGGCCAAGACUCCUACGGGAGGCAGCAGUGGGGAAUCUUGCGCAAUGGGCGAAAGCCUGACGCAGCCAUGCCGCGUGGAUGAUGAAGGUCUUAGGAUUGUAAAAUCCUUUCACCGGGGACGAUAAUGACGGUACCCGGAGAAGAAGCCCCGGCUAACUUCGUGCCAGCCGCCGCGGUAA
This 447-nucleotide ribosomal RNA is filed under the name uncultured bacterium. Its description in RNAcentral is "partial 16S ribosomal RNA". It matches the Rfam family "Bacterial small subunit ribosomal RNA", at positions 29 to 523 of the family's 1533-position model. The record is from RNAcentral.